AGAGGACUAGCUGAGUGGUUUAGCAGCUCCUUUACACGGAGCAGACAAAGGUUCGAUCCCUUUGUUCUCUA
RNAcentral lists this transfer RNA (71 nucleotides) under Hymenobacter sp. Its description in RNAcentral is "tRNA-Val". It matches the Rfam family "tRNA". Rfam says of the family: Transfer RNA (tRNA) molecules are approximately 80 nucleotides in length. Their secondary structure includes four short double-helical elements and three loops (D, anti-codon, and T loops). Further hydrogen bonds mediate the characteristic L-shaped molecular structure. tRNAs have two regions of fundamental functional importance: the anti-codon, which is responsible for specific mRNA codon recognition, and the 3' end, to which the tRNAs corresponding amino acid is attached (by aminoacyl-tRNA synthetases). tRNAs cope with the degeneracy of the genetic code in two manners: having more than one tRNA (with a specific anti-codon) for a particular amino acid; and 'wobble' base-pairing, i.e. permitting non-standard base-pairing at the 3rd anti-codon position. The record is from RNAcentral. Lineage: Bacteria; Pseudomonadati; Bacteroidota; Cytophagia; Cytophagales; Hymenobacteraceae.